RNAcentral lists this microRNA (26 nucleotides) under Tribolium castaneum (red flour beetle). RNAcentral describes it as "tca-miR-3827-5p". Lineage: Eukaryota; Metazoa; Arthropoda; Insecta; Coleoptera; Tenebrionidae. The record is from miRBase by way of RNAcentral.
UCACUGCGCUGCUGCGGAUGCCGCAA